Heterocephalus glaber (naked mole-rat) is the source of this 1752-nucleotide long non-coding RNA. RefSeq lists it as uncharacterized. NCBI's taxonomy places the organism in Eukaryota, Metazoa, Chordata, Mammalia, Rodentia, Bathyergidae. The record is from RefSeq and is a predicted model, not a curated record.
GGUGCAUUCCUCCCCCACGCCCUGGGCGCCAUGGAAACCGCCCUGUAAACUCGGGCAGCGGCACUGACCUUUAAAUUCAUUUGCUACCGGCCGAAGAGCGAUCCCCUUGCGCCCUUCCAAGUUGCGGGUCCUCAGCGCGGUCCGCUGCCCCGACAGCGCGCAGAGAUCCGGCGACCCUAAGGGCUCUGGAGAAUCCGAAACGGAUUCCCGACUCUGGGCCGGGCUCCCAACUUUGCUGAGCUUUCAGUGUGAAGGGGAGUUUGUGGGGUUCCCGUCUGGUUGCAAGCCUGAGUUAAAGGAAGAUGUAGAAAACUCGCGCUUCUGGAGGCUGUGCCUGUGGACGUGGGUUUAUCUUGGAGAACUCAUUUGUGAACUUGAGUAGUGCUGUUAUUUCUUGAUGGGUUCAUUUGGCUUCCAAGGUGGGACCCGAGGGUGGCGAGGCCUGAGAGCGGCCGGAGGCUGUCGCGCGGGUCUGGCACUGGGCCUUCCCGGGAAGUGGUCUCUUCACCAACGUAGGGCCGGGCCGCCACCUGCCGCUCUCAGCAGGUUCCAGAGGGUGAACUUCAGCUGGUUCCAGCCACAAAGCCAGGCCUGCAGGGCUGGGGUGGGGUCUGCAAUUAUCCCUCAGUCCUGCGGAGGAACGGUGAUGUAGAGCCCAGGUUUUCCUUGGGUCCAAACUCCAGCUCAGCGACUUCUGGAUUACUGUGGCCUUCUCCCCAAAGUCUUCAGAAUACAUACUUAACUUCACUGGGACUGGUCAACAUUGUUUUCUUGUGCCAUCUUUCAUUUUCUGUACCGAAGUGAGAAGGUGACAAUCAGUUAUGCAGAGUAUAUUGCUUCUCGACAACAUUGUUUCCAGAAUGGCACUCUUCAUGCCCUGCCCCUCUACAAUCAUUACUCCAGAGACAAGGCUGCAUGACCAGUCCCACCCCCCUGUAGCCACCAAUGGCUAUGACAUCAUUGGAGCAGAUCUCUCCUCUUCCUGGCCCAGUUACUUCUAUUACUGCACCAUUUUAUGAUGCUAGCUUCCAUUGCCAAGGCUGCCUCCCACUGACUGAGGGAGUGUGGGGUUACACUGAAUGAAGCAGAACUUGAGGGGCCCAAGCCUUAUCUCAGCCUUUCCUCAGUAUGAGGUUCCACUGGACGGGGCUUCUCCAUGACUAGUGAGAAUCGCUGUGUGGGUGCUGAAGACCCUGGUCUGGUGAUUUGGCACGUGUGGUGGCCACACACUGGAAUUAGAGUUGAUGAUCCAUGGAGGUUUGAAAACUGAGGCUCAGAAAGAGGGGCGUGUUCCUCAGAGUCUCAGCUAGUUAGCAUCAGAAUGAGCUAUAGAGUGAAGGGCUUCCCUUCCACAUGGCCUUUCCCAUGCACUCUUCUGGAGCAGCACUUAGUUUGACAACAAAUCCCAAGGGUCUAGUCGGGGAUUCAAGCAGUAUCUGGGGCUGCUUUUGUAGUGAUGCAAAUCAGAUCCAUUGUGAGCUCUGCCUUGGGUCUCCUCAAGUUUGAAGUUCGGUUCUGCCAUUACUAGCUUUGGAAUGUUGGGCAAGGUACUUAAUCUCCCUACAUCAAAUGAAGAUUGGACAUGCCAACUCACAGGGGUGCUGUGAGAAUUACACAAGAUAAUGUGUAUGUAUUGUUUUCAAAAAAAAUAAUUAUGUAAUCUGUUGAGAAGUUUCUGUUCUACUUCUAGUCUCCUGAUAGCUUUUACCAUGAACAGCUGUAGAAUUUGGUCCAAUAUUUUUCUCCAAACUA